UUUUGGCCCUCUAAUACCGUCAUCUGAUAACUUAGACUUAGUUUGGUAUUCAUGUUCAUUUGACGCUAUUAAAUAAAAUAAAGUUAGGAUAAAAGUAUAUAGAGAUAUACUUCUGCGUUUUUCGGUAAACUGCAGAAAAUAUAUCGUAACCGACUCAUCGUGAUAUGCGGAACACAACAUUACCCAUGAAAACAAACUGGGCAUCUUUCUCACCGCACGUAAUGCAAUUUCCUGCAAUUCCAAACAAAACGUUAAGCUUUUAAAGCUUUGUUUGGUUCAGGUAUAAAUAAGAACUACUUAUUUCAAUAAUAGAUGUUUUUCGAAAAUAAGAUAAAUAGUAUUUAUAUGGUUAGAUUAGAAUAGCGGGAAUAAAAAUAAUUACAAUUUUAAAUUACAAAUAUGUUAUCCGAUUAAUUAAUAUCAAAAUAUUAAUUAAAAAUAAUUCAAUAAAGAGAAAUGCUCAAACUCCGUAUGUUGUUGUUGCUGGGGCUGAUUUGAAAAUUACGUACGGAGGUGAGGCCGCGUUCUACCGUCUACAAUUAAUGCGAGGAAGUAAAUGAUCAUCUUUGUAAUAAUAUCUCAAGUACUACUAACCGCUGGCCUCCAAUAAUAAUAGAUGUGAUAUAUUUGUAAAUUUGACGGUGUAAAAUAAUUCAAAUUUUAUGAAAUUUUUAUAGAAAAUUUUUUUCACUAUUUAGAAUAAGAUUAAUAUCUCUGAUCUUAAAUUCAAGUCUUUUAUUAUCAUUUUUUAUGAAAUUUUUAUUUUUUAUAGUUCAUUUUUAGACUACUCGUUUGAUAGAUAAAUGAUACCGAAAAAUUAUGAAUUUAGUUUUCAAAUAUUUUCAAUAGUGUAGAUCAAGUUUAAUGGAGCCGAUCGUCGAUUUGGGAGCCGCAUCAUCGAAAACAACUUGGUGGCACGGAGGCCUCCGUGCUACCGAUAGUAUACCAACCUAACU
RNAcentral lists this long non-coding RNA (956 nucleotides) under Ananas comosus (pineapple). RNAcentral's name for it is "long non-coding RNA (ACOM_LNC044188)". Lineage: Eukaryota; Viridiplantae; Streptophyta; Magnoliopsida; Poales; Bromeliaceae. The record is from RNAcentral.